AAAAAAAUAAGCUAAUCAAGCUUUCGGGUUCAUACCCCGACUAUAAAGGUACAAUCCUUUUUUUUUUA
This 68-nucleotide transfer RNA is filed under the name Scarabaeidae sp. BMNH 1274752. RNAcentral's name for it is "tRNA-Met". It matches the Rfam family "tRNA". From Rfam's summary of the family: Transfer RNA (tRNA) molecules are approximately 80 nucleotides in length. Their secondary structure includes four short double-helical elements and three loops (D, anti-codon, and T loops). The record is from RNAcentral. Lineage: Eukaryota; Metazoa; Arthropoda; Insecta; Coleoptera; Scarabaeidae.